Molecule: ribosomal RNA, 440 nt
Filed under: uncultured bacterium
Lineage: Bacteria
Description: partial 16S ribosomal RNA
Rfam family: Bacterial small subunit ribosomal RNA
Source: RNAcentral
CCUACGGGAGGCAGCAGUGGGGGAUAUUGCACAAUGGGGGAAACCCUGAUGCAGCGACGCCGCGUGAGUGAAGAAGUAUUUCGGUAUGUAAAGCUCUAUCAGCAGGGAAGAAAAUGACAGUACCUGACCAAGAAUCCACGGCUAACUACGUGCCAGCAGCCGCGGUAAUACGUAGGGGGCAAGCGUUAACCGGAUUUACUGGGUGUAAAGGGAGCGUAGACGGUUAUGUAAGUCGGGGGUGAAAGCCCGGGGCCCAACCCCGGGACUGCUUUGGAAACUGUGUAACUGGAGUGCAGGAGGGGCUGGCGGAAUUCCUGGUGUAGCGGUGAAAUGCGUAGAUAUCAGGAGGAACAUCGGCGGCGAAGGCGGCCUGCUGGCCUGAAACUGACGUUGAGGCUCGAAAGCGUGGGGAGCAAACAGGAUUAGAUACCCGGGUAGUC